RNAcentral lists this small nuclear RNA (301 nucleotides) under Microtus ochrogaster (prairie vole). RNAcentral's name for it is "7SK RNA (ENSMOCG00000010162.1)". It matches the Rfam family "7SK RNA". From Rfam's summary of the family: 7SK was discovered as an abundant small nuclear RNA in the mid-70s but a possible function has only recently been suggested. The record is from RNAcentral. Lineage: Eukaryota; Metazoa; Chordata; Mammalia; Rodentia; Cricetidae.
GAAUUGAGGGUGAUCUGGCUGUGACAUCUGUCACCCCAUUGAUCACCAGGGUAGAUUCGGCUGAUCUGGCUGGCUAGGUGGGUGUCCCCUUCCUCCAUCACCGCUCCAUAUGCAUCCCUCCCAAAGCUGCAUGCUCUGUCAAAGAGAAUGACCUGCCCUGAACAGAGGAGGACCAAACACUCUUAGGUCAAGGGUAUAUGAGUAGCUGUGCUCCCUUGCUAGAACCUCCAAACAAGCUCUCAAGUCUUUACCCCUUUUUAAAGCAUUAACUUUAUGAUUCUCUAUACACUUUUUCUUCUAU